This 215-nucleotide long non-coding RNA is filed under the name Lathyrus oleraceus (garden pea). RNAcentral's name for it is "Pisum sativum (pea) long non-coding RNA (PSAT_LNC017376)". Lineage: Eukaryota; Viridiplantae; Streptophyta; Magnoliopsida; Fabales; Fabaceae. The record is from RNAcentral.
GAAAAUGAAAUAGAAUGGAAUGAAAAUGAAAUUGAAUUUGAAUGGAAUAGUAACAUGUUAUAUUGUUUGUCUUUAGAAAAAUGAAUCAAAUUGAACUUGAUAGAAUUCAUUUCAUUGAAUACCAUAUUUAUUUUAAUUUUAAAAAAUUACUUUUUUCUUUAUAUUUUUUAAUUUUUAUUUUAUAAAAUAGUUUUUCAAAAUAUUAUAAUUUUUUU